This 85-nucleotide non-coding RNA is filed under the name uncultured Anaerostipes sp. Its description in RNAcentral is "Glycine riboswitch". It matches the Rfam family "Glycine riboswitch aptamer", at positions 7 to 88 of the family's 94-position model. From Rfam's summary of the family: This family represents the bacterial glycine riboswitch. Glycine riboswitches usually consist of two metabolite-binding aptamers domains with similar structures in tandem. The aptamers cooperatively bind glycine to regulate the expression of downstream genes. The record is from RNAcentral. Lineage: Bacteria; Bacillati; Bacillota; Clostridia; Lachnospirales; Lachnospiraceae.
GAACUCUGGAGAGUCUCAUAAGUGAGCGCCGAAGGUGUACAGUUCAGGAAACUGAACUAAUCUCUCAGGCAAAAGGACAGAGCUU